Molecule: transfer RNA, 73 nt
Organism: Phytophthora infestans T30-4
Lineage: Eukaryota; Oomycota; Peronosporomycetes; Peronosporales; Peronosporaceae
Rfam family: tRNA
About the family: Transfer RNA (tRNA) molecules are approximately 80 nucleotides in length. Their secondary structure includes four short double-helical elements and three loops (D, anti-codon, and T loops). Further hydrogen bonds mediate the characteristic L-shaped molecular structure. tRNAs have two regions of fundamental functional importance: the anti-codon, which is responsible for specific mRNA codon recognition, and the 3' end, to which the tRNAs corresponding amino acid is attached (by aminoacyl-tRNA synthetases). tRNAs cope with the degeneracy of the genetic code in two manners: having more than one tRNA (with a specific anti-codon) for a particular amino acid; and 'wobble' base-pairing, i.e. permitting non-standard base-pairing at the 3rd anti-codon position.
Source: Rfam
ACCCGUCUAGCUCCGUCGGUAGAGCGCUGGCCUUUUAAGCCAGUGGUCGUGGGUUCGAUCCCCACGGGGGGUG